CCAAUAGCGUAUAUUAAAGUUGUUGCAGUUAAAAAGCUCGUAGUUGAAUUUCGGGAUCAGUUGAUCGGUCGUGCCUCGGUACGUACUGGUCAAAUUGAUUCCUACCUUCUGACGAACCACGAUGUCAUUAAUUUGGUGUCGCGGGAAAUCAGGACUGUUACUUUGAAAAAAUUAGAGUGUUUAAAGCAGGCUCGCGCUUGAAUACAUUAGCAUGGAAUAAUGAAAUAGGACGUUUGAUUCUAUUUUGUUGGUCUCUAGGAUCGACGUAAUGAUUAAUAGGGAUAGUUGGGGGCAUUAGUAUUCAAUUGUCAGAGGUGAAAUUCUUGGAUUUAUUGAAGACUAACCACUGCGAAAGCAUUUGCCAAGGAUGUUUUCAUUAAUCAAGAACGAAAGUUAGGGGAUCGAAGACGAUCAGAUACCGUCGUAGUCUUAACCAUAAACUAUGCCGACUAGGGAUCGGAUGAUGUUAAUUUUUUAAUGACUCAUUCGGCGCCUUACG
RNAcentral lists this ribosomal RNA (499 nucleotides) under uncultured Glomeromycotina. RNAcentral describes it as "partial small subunit ribosomal RNA". It matches the Rfam family "Eukaryotic small subunit ribosomal RNA", at positions 591 to 1092 of the family's 1831-position model. Lineage: Eukaryota; Fungi; Glomeromycota. The record is from RNAcentral.